AUACGUAGGGGGCGAGCGUUGUCCGGAAUGACUGGGCGUAAAGGGCGUGUAGGCGGCGGCGUAAGUCUGGAGUGAAAGUCCCGCAUUCAAUGUGGGAAUUGCUUUGGAUACUGCAGUGCUAGAGUGCGGAAGAGGUAAGUGGAAUUCCCAGUGUAGCGGUGAAAUGCGUAGAGAUUGGUAGGAACACCAGUGGCGAAGGCGACUUACUGAGCCUUAACUGAAGCUGAGGCUCGAAAGCGUGGGGUGUGAACAGGAUUAGAUACCCUGGUAGUCCACGCGGUAAACGAUGAAUGCUAGGUGUUCCGGGUAUCGACCCCUGCAGUGCCGGAGUAAACACAAUAAGCAUUCCGCCUGGGGAGUACGGCCUCAAGGUUGAAACUCAAAUGAAUUGGCGGUG
Molecule: ribosomal RNA, 397 nt
Filed under: uncultured bacterium
Lineage: Bacteria
Description: partial 16S ribosomal RNA
Rfam family: Bacterial small subunit ribosomal RNA
Source: RNAcentral